RNAcentral lists this long non-coding RNA (504 nucleotides) under Ursus maritimus (polar bear). Its description in RNAcentral is "lncRNA (ENSUMAG00000015747.1)". The record is from RNAcentral. Lineage: Eukaryota; Metazoa; Chordata; Mammalia; Carnivora; Ursidae.
CCCGCCGCAACCGCAGCUCCCCGCUCGUCCCCUCCCUGGAGACGGUGUCGUGCGACCUCCCUCUUUGAGGACGCGUCCUGACUCGCUCCACCAGAUAUUGGAUCAUGAACUGCAUCACCGAUCAGCCAUCCUGAUAGGACAGUGGAAUGACCUGUUGACAUUCCAGAGUGUUUUCCAGUUCGAUCACUAGGUCACUCCAGGGCAUGAGACAGCUGAGUGGAAAGACCACCUUUGCUCUGGGUCAAGUUAUAGCAACACCAGGAAGCACAAUGCAGUGAAGACAGUGUGGUUGCAGGGAGGCGGACCCUGAUUCCAGUACUCAUCAACGUCGGUCACUUUGGGCAAGGUACUGAAGCCCCGCCCCUCACUCUUCUCAGUUGUAAAAUAUGAAGAUAUUAUCUUUCAUGUAAAGGAGCUGUGAGACUUAAAUGAGAUACUGAAUGGAAAUCAUACAGAUGUCUGAUGACUAGUAAGUACAGUUUGGUCGGCAGUGGUUGGUCAUGC